GUCUACGGCCAUGCUGCCCCUGAACAAGCCCGAUCCCGUCUGAUCUCGGAAGCUAAGCAGGGUCGGGCCUGGUUAGUACUUGGAUGGGAGACCACCUAGGAAGACCAGGUGCUGUAGGCG
Molecule: ribosomal RNA, 120 nt
Filed under: Pteropus alecto (black flying fox)
Lineage: Eukaryota; Metazoa; Chordata; Mammalia; Chiroptera; Pteropodidae
Source: RNAcentral